Molecule: non-coding RNA, 733 nt
Organism: Camelina sativa (false flax)
Lineage: Eukaryota; Viridiplantae; Streptophyta; Magnoliopsida; Brassicales; Brassicaceae
Source: RefSeq, a predicted model, not a curated record
UCAUGUCCUUCAAUUGAGUAGAUCAUAUCCAUCGGGUCUGACGAACUUGUCCAUUGUUGCCCACAUGUCAGAUGAAGAAGCUGGCACUGGGAAUGGUGUGACUCCUCUCGUCCACAUCCAGAUCCAACAGUUAAGGUUUGAUGAUGACACAUGCACAAUAUAUGUUGUCUCUUCGUUGGACCAGUUUUAACAGUCAAGGUUUGUCCACAAUUAUCAUCUCCUUCAGUUGAGUAGAUCAUUUCCAUCGGGCCUGACGAACUUGUUCAUUGUUGCCCACAUGUCAGAUGAAGAAGCGUGCACUAGGAAUGGUGUACCUCCUAUCAUCCACAUUCAGAUCCAACAGUUAAGAUAUAUGCGGACCGUUAUUAUUUUAGUCGUUUGGUCCAUUUGUAACAAAAACGCAACUUGUCCCCGUUGCAGGUUUGAUGAGAAUGCAUGCACAAUAUAUGUUGUCCCUCUGGUGGACCAGUUUCAAUAGUUAAGGUCUCAUGACGACACAUGCAUUGGAAAUGUUGUGCCUCCAAUGGAUCGGUUUCAAGAGUCAAGAUAUAUGUCCACCCUAAUUAUUUCUGUUGACGGCGUGUUCACUGAAAAUUUUGCCGCCCUGGUGGACCAGGUCCAACUGCCAAGAUAGAUGUCCUCUCUUUGGUAGACCACUUUUGUUUAACUUAGACGAACUUGUUUGUUGUUGUACAAACUCAGUAUGUAACAAUGAUUAUUCAGCCACCACCAA